This 455-nucleotide ribosomal RNA is filed under the name uncultured Anaerolineaceae bacterium. RNAcentral describes it as "bacterial SSU rRNA". It matches the Rfam family "Bacterial small subunit ribosomal RNA", at positions 916 to 1381 of the family's 1533-position model. Lineage: Bacteria; Bacillati; Chloroflexota; Anaerolineae; Anaerolineales; Anaerolineaceae. The record is from RNAcentral.
GACGGGGCCCGCACAAGCAGCGGAGCGUGUGGUUUAAUUCGAUGCUACACGAAGAACCUUACCCGGGUUUGACAUACAGGUGGUAGGGAACUGAAAAGGGACCGACCCUUCGGGGAGCCUGAACAGGUGCUGCAUGGCUGUCGUCAGCUCGUGUCGUGAGAUGUCCGGUUAAGUCCGGUAACGAGCGCAACCCUUGCCGUAUGUUACAAGUGUCAUACGGGACUGCCGGUAUCAAGCCGGAGGAAGGUGGGGAUGACGUCAAGUCAGCAUGGCCUUUAUAUCCGGGGCUACACACACGCUACAAUGGUCAGUACAACAGGUUGCAAAGUCGCGAGGUGGAGCCAAUCCAUAAAGCUGGCCUCAGUUCAGAUUGCAGGCUGCAACUCGCCUGCAUGAAGUCGGAGUUGCUAGUAAUCGCGGAUCAGAAUGCCGCGGUGAAUGCGUUCCCGGGUCUU